Molecule: RNA transcript, 773 nt
Organism: Triticum aestivum (bread wheat)
Lineage: Eukaryota; Viridiplantae; Streptophyta; Magnoliopsida; Poales; Poaceae
Exons: 2
Source: RefSeq, a predicted model, not a curated record
CACGGUCCGUCCCCCUACAGCUCCCAUCCCCCCCACUGACGCCUUGGCGCCAGCCACGGCGUCGGUGACGUCGUGCUGGAGCACACCAGACUAGGGCUGGACACGAGCCGAGCCGAGCUGAGUUCGGUCCGAGCCUGGCUUUGGCUCGCCAUGAACGAGCCAUGCUCGGCUCGGCUCGCUGGUUGAACGAGCCCGCAUCUGGAGGCUCAGCUCGUCUUGCCUCUGGCUCGGUCCAGCCCGAGCAGCUCGUUUUGCCUCUGGAGGCUGGGUGCGUGGGCGUACGGGCGCAUCAGGCGAGGCUGGAGCUUGACAGCGUUGAGGGGAGCACGACGGAGACGUGCCGACGUGGCGAGGUCGGGCGUCUGGUGCGUCGAACGCAGGUGGCUAGCCUCUGUAGCAGUUGAUCUUGCUUCCUCUCGAAUCAAUCAACAGGCUGGUGAUGCGUGCGUGCGCUGCGGCCGCUGGAUGCGUUCGUGCGUGCCGACGCCAGCGGCAGGAUGCGUCGUGGUGGCAUGCAGGAAAUAGCUUGGCGAGAAGCGUGGGGCGGCGGCGACGGCGGCGGCGAACCCUAGCGGGAGGAGACAGUGGAGACGACGCGACUCGCUGGGUUGGGCUGGUUGCGCUCCUCUGCUGGGCUGCAUGAACGUGUCGCGUCCUGGGCUUCGGCUUUGGACGAGCCACCGAGCUGGACCGGGCCAAAACAGGCUCGGCUCGGUCGGCGAACGGGCCCAUUUCGCGUGGCUCGGCUCGGCCUAUUUAGUUCUCGGGCCGAG